ACCAUAUAUGACCGUUGGAUAAUUAAAUGGUAGUCAUUUUAUUGUUUCUUUGAAAAGUUGUAUUCGUCUAUUUUCUUCACUACAAUUAGAUAUCUAAUGGUUUUAAAUUUUUCUAAGUUUUUACAAGGACGAUCUAUAUGAAUGAUGAAUUAAAAUAUAGACGGUUCAAAUCAUUGAAAAAAGUUACAAAAUGAGCACCAUAAGGUAUUCCUCAACGGAAGGGGAGUAUACAUAUAGAGGGAGUUCUCAACUAAGAUUAUUUGAGGGAUACCUUGUGGAGCUCACUUCGUAGAAAAUUUCAACAAUCCAAAUCGUAUGCAUAUAUUGUUCUUAAAAAAAAUAGACAAAUAAAAAACCAUUAAGAUAUCCAAUAAUACUCAAAUCCGAAACAAUAUGAUCAUAAUUAAAUGGUAUUCACUAGAAUUGGAUGUCUUAAUGGUUUUAAAUUUUUCUAAUUUUUUUGUAAGAAUGAUCUAUGAAUGAUGAAUUAAAAUAUAGAUGGUUAUCGUUGAAAAAGUUACAAGAUGAGCACCAUAAGGUGUUCCUCAAAGGAAGAGGAGAAUAUAUACAAAGGGAUCCCUAAAAUAAGGCUAUCCGAGGGACACCUUGUGGAGCUUG
Molecule: long non-coding RNA, 618 nt
Filed under: Malus domestica (apple)
Lineage: Eukaryota; Viridiplantae; Streptophyta; Magnoliopsida; Rosales; Rosaceae
Description: long non-coding RNA (MDOM_LNC002544)
Source: RNAcentral